GGCUUAAUUUGACUCAACGCGGGAAAUCUUACCGGGUCCGGACACACUGAGGAUUGACAGGUAACGUUAUACACACAUAUAUUUACUCUCGGGUAUUURUACUGCUGUGUAUAUAUAAAAUAUGCUAGUCCUUUCAUGAUUAUGUGAUAGGUGGUGCAUGGCCGUUCUUAGUUCGUGGAGUGAUCUGUCUGCUUAAUUGCGUUUCACUAAGGAUCUAUAUUCAUAUUACGCAUAGCAUUUUGACCCCUUUAUGCUUCGGUAUAAAGCUGCGCGUCAAACCUUGCUAUCUGCGUAUAUUAGAUCCUGAAAGCAACGAACGUGACCGCAACCUCUUGUUGCCUUUAACUAGGUUUUGCUUACGUAUAGCUUCGGCUUUACGCUUUGCAUCUAAAAAGGCUGAUUUUCUAAACUAGAGGGACCGCUGUUACUUUCUUAAACCAGAGGAAGGUUGCGGCAAUAACAGGU
RNAcentral lists this ribosomal RNA (465 nucleotides) under Nonionella sp. T1. RNAcentral's name for it is "SSU rRNA". It matches the Rfam family "Eukaryotic small subunit ribosomal RNA", at positions 1198 to 1480 of the family's 1831-position model. The record is from RNAcentral. Lineage: Eukaryota; Foraminifera; Rotaliida; Nonionidae.